Molecule: long non-coding RNA, 507 nt
Filed under: Hordeum vulgare
Lineage: Eukaryota; Viridiplantae; Streptophyta; Magnoliopsida; Poales; Poaceae
Description: long non-coding RNA (HVUL_LNC014551)
Source: RNAcentral
UUCCAUCUCAUCAUCUACACUUUGUUUACCCAUGUAAACAGCCACAUGUUAGUCCUAAAAAUUUCACAACAUAAUUAUGGGUGCACUGAGUUUGAUAUAUGCAAGAAAUAUAAUCAGAUAGAGAAAUAUAUAUUUUCGCAAAUAUAGCAAGCAGAACAGUUUUGUUCUGGAAUGCACAUUAAGGACGAGUGCCCGAUACCUAUCCAGGUGAACCAUCGUUGAUGUGGCCAAGCAUGAGUAUUCUCAUAAGAAAAUGUGGUCAUGGCCACACCAAUAGGAUGAUACCACUCCCUUCCGAUUACAUGCUGGUGGCCAAAUGUUUCCAUAUUAUUUCCACCAUCGUACUCAUGCAAGUUUGACACAUCCUUGUUGAUGAGAAAAUGACAUAUAUUUGUGAGGGUUACAUUGGUGGAAAGUUUUACUAUGGGGUAUGUGGUGGAUAGGCCUAAUUACUUAUGUUAUCAUUAUUAGCACUAGGUAGUGCGCAAAGUAUGGACAUGCCAUUUU